This 305-nucleotide ribosomal RNA is filed under the name uncultured bacterium. Its description in RNAcentral is "bacterial SSU rRNA". It matches the Rfam family "Bacterial small subunit ribosomal RNA", at positions 337 to 641 of the family's 1533-position model. The record is from RNAcentral.
UCCUACGGGGGGCAGCAGUGGGGAAUAUUGCACAAUGGGCGCAAGCCUGAUGCAGCGACGCCGCGUGCGGGAUGGAGGCCUUCGGGUUGUAAACCGCUUUUUUUCCCGGGCAAGUCACGGUCUUUGGCCGUGUUGAGUGGAUUGUUCGAAUAAGCACCGGCUAACUACGUGCCAGCAGCCGCGGUAAUACGUAGGGUGCACGCGUUAUCCGGCUUUAUUGGGCGUAAAGGGCUCGUCGGCUUUUCGUCGCGUCCGGUGUGCAAGUCCAUCGCUUCACGGUGUCUCCGCGCCUGUUCCGGGCGGUC